CAGCUGGGGGGGUGAACUGGGGUCAUAACCCCACACCCAUGAAACAACUCACGGGAAAAAGAGACAUUUUAACAGCACAGUCGAAACUGUGGAGAAAGGAGCGCUGCCCCUGUCUUCUCACCGUCUCCUAUUGUGGAUCGGGGAGGAGGCGUGACCAUAAUUACUGCAGGCAAUUAGCGAGCAUAGGCUAUGUCCAAAUGCAGUGGAGUCUGGAUGCUGAGGAGGUGAGCCACUAACUGACUGGUAUCACGGAUAAACAAGGAGAAGACAAAAGACAUCUUUCCUUGAAACACCACAAAUAUCCCCCUCCUGCAUAAACGAUGCCCUCCGGGACCACCACCACAGCCUGGACAGUAACAAGAACUGCUGUGAUUCAUAGUUAUGAGUUACAACACUCUCAUGGAUAUUGCUCAAAAGAGUGGGAAUAACUGAAAACAAUAUUUAAAUCCAAAAGAAGUGUUGAGUUUUUGUUUAAUGUUGUGGUCUGCAGUGGUGUUCUGAAUAAAAUAAGUAAGAAACCAAGUUUUUUCUUUUUAUGUUAAAUCUUUGUUUUGUUUUAAUUUGACUGAUUUCAUUUCAUUUCAUUUUUGUGUUGUAUUGGCAAACAUUAGAGUGAAUAAAUGUCUUUACUGAGUGAAAUCUACAGCUGGGUACAACUGUGAAGUGUAAAAGUUGGGAGACUAUGAAAAAUAACAUUUUAACUUUGUUACAUGCAUGUCCUCUACGAUUUUAUAUCUUAAGUGGAACACUUGUUUUGUUGUGUGGUUUCUUUUUUGUUGGGCAACAUGGUGGUGUGGUGGUUACCACCAUUGUGUCACAGCAAGAAGGUCCUGGUUGAAAUCCGCUGGCCACCUGGGACCUCCCAGUGUGGAACUUGUAUGUCCUCACUGUGUCUGCAUAGGUUA
Molecule: long non-coding RNA, 905 nt
Organism: Oreochromis niloticus (Nile tilapia)
Lineage: Eukaryota; Metazoa; Chordata; Actinopteri; Cichliformes; Cichlidae
Exons: 3
Source: RefSeq, a predicted model, not a curated record